GAUGAACGCUGGCGGCGUGCCUAAUACAUGCAAGUCGAGCGAACAGACGAGGAGCUUGCUCCUCUGACGUUAGCGGCGGACGGGUGAGUAACACGUGGAUAACCUACCUAUAAGACUGGGAUAACUUCGGGAAACCGGAGCUAAUACCGGAUAAUAUAUUGAACCGCAUGGUUCAAUAGUGAAAGACGGUUUUGCUGUCACUUAUAGAUGGAUCCGCGCCGCAUUAGCUAGUUGGUAAGGUAACGGCUUACCAAGGCAACGAUGCGUAGCCGACCUGAGAGGGUGAUCGGCCACACUGGAACUGAGACACGGUCCAGACUCCUACGGGAGGCAGCAGUAGGGAAUCUUCCGCAAGGGGCGAAAGCUGGACGGAGCAACGCCGCGUGAGUGAUGAAGGUCGUCGGAUCGUAAAACUCUGUUAUUAGGGAAGAACAAAUGUGUAAGUAACUAUGCACGUCUUGACGGUACCUAAUCAGAAAGCCACGGCUAACUACG
RNAcentral lists this ribosomal RNA (495 nucleotides) under uncultured bacterium. RNAcentral describes it as "partial 16S ribosomal RNA". It matches the Rfam family "Bacterial small subunit ribosomal RNA", at positions 28 to 505 of the family's 1533-position model. The record is from RNAcentral.